This 114-nucleotide ribosomal RNA is filed under the name Reclinomonas americana. Lineage: Eukaryota; Jakobea; Jakobida; Histionidae. The record is from RNAcentral.
GUUAGUCAUUGAUAGUAUAUAUUGAUCCACUUGAUCCCAUUCCGAACUCGAAUUGUGAAAGUAUAUACGCCAUACGUACUGCAAAAUUGUGGGACAUUUAUGGUGAUGACUAUA